RNAcentral lists this ribosomal RNA (2065 nucleotides) under marine metagenome. RNAcentral's name for it is "bacterial LSU rRNA". It matches the Rfam family "Bacterial large subunit ribosomal RNA", at positions 492 to 2615 of the family's 2925-position model. The record is from RNAcentral.
GAACCAGUACCGUGAGGGAAAGGUGAAAAGCACCCCGACGAGGGGAGUGAAACAGUACCUGAAACCGAACGCCUACAAUCAGUUGGAGCAUCCUUGCGAUGUGACAGCGUACCUUUUGUAUAAUGGGUCAUCGACUUGGUCUAUCUAGCAAGCUUAAGCCGUUAGGUGUAGGCGCAGCGAAAGCGAGUCUUAAUAGGGCGCAUGAGUUAGAUGGAUCAGACCCGAAACCGAGUGAUCUAGGCAUGACCAGGAUGAAGAUAAGGUAACACUUAUUGGAGGUCCGAACCCACACCUGUUGAAAAAGGUCGGGAUGAGUUGUGCCUAGGGGUGAAAGGCCAAUCAAACUCGGAGAUAGCUGGUUCUCCGCGAAAUCUAUUUAGGUAGAGCGUCAUCCGAAUACCCCGGGGGGUAGAGCACUGGAUGGGUAAUGGGGCCCCACAGGCUUACUGAUCCUAACCAAACUCCGAAUACCCGGGAGUACUAGAUGGCAGACACACGGCGGAUGCUAACGUCCGUCGUGGAGAGGGAAACAACCCUGACCGACAGUUAAGGCCCCCAAUUCAUGGCUAAGUGGGAAAGCAGGUGGGACGACCAAAACAACCAGGAGGUUGGCUUAGAAGCAGCCAUCCUUUAAAGAUAGCGUAACAGCUCACUGGUCUAAAUAAGUUGUCCUGCGGCGAAGAUGUAACGGGGCUCAAGCCAUGAGCCGAAACUUCGGACGCGAGUAAUCGCGUGGUAGCGGAGCGUAGUGUGAUAUAGCACCACGCCUCUUUAGCAAUUCUUUUGAAUUGCCUUGGAGGCUUAGGUGCUUUCUGUGAAGCCGGGCUGUAAGGCAUCCGGUGGAGAGAUCACUAGUGAGAAUGAUGACAUGAGUAGCGACAAAGAGUGUGAGAGACACUCUCGCCGAAAGUCCAAGGGUUCCUGCUUAAAGCUAAUCUGAGCAGGGUAAGCCGGCCCCUAAGUCGAGGCAGAAAUGCGUAGACGAUGGGAACUAGGUUAAUAUUCCUAGGCCAGGAGGAUGUGACGGAUCGUGAAGGUUGUUCACCCUUAUUGGAUUGGGUGGGCCGCUAAUCGGUUCCUGGAAAUAGCCCUCCAUAAGAUCGUACCCUAAACCGACACAGGUGGACUGGUAGAGAAUACCAAGGCGCUUGAGAGAACUAUGUUGAAGGAACUCGGCAAAAUACCUCCGUAAGUUCGCGAGAAGGAGGCCCAGUUUCUACGCAAGUAUUGGCUGGGGGCACAAACCAGGGGGUGGCGACUGUUUACUAAAAACACAGGGCUCUGCGAAGUCGCAAGACGACGUAUAGGGUCUGACGCCUGCCCGGUGCCUGAAGGUUAAAAGGAGGGGUGAGAGCUCCGAAUUGAAGCCCAGGUAAACGGCGGCCGUAACUAUAACGGUCCUAAGGUAGCGAAAUUCCUUGUCGGGUAAGUUCCGACCUGCACGAAUGGCGUAACGACUUCCCCGCUGUCUCCAACAUAGACUCAGCGAAAUUGAAUUGCCUGUCAAGAUGCAGGCUUCCCGCGGUUAGACGGAAAGACCCCGUGCACCUUUACUACAGCUUCGCACUGGCAUCAGGCACAACAUGUGCAGGAUAGGUGGUGGGCUUUGAAGCAGAAACGCCAGUUUCUGUGGAGCCUCCCUUGAGAUACCACCCUUGUUCUGCUUGAUGUCUAACCGCGGUCCGUUAUCCGGAUCCGGGACCCUGCGUGGCGGGUAGUUUGACUGGGGCGGUCGCCUCCUAAAGAGUAACGGAGGCGCGCGAAGGUUGGCUCAGAGCGGUCGGAAAUCGCUCGUUGAGUGCAAUGGCAGAAGCCAGCCUGACUGCGAGACUGACAAGUCGAGCAGAGACGAAAGUCGGCCAUAGUGAUCCGGUGGUCCCGAGUGGAAGGGCCAUCGCUCAACGGAUAAAAGGUACGCCGGGGAUAACAGGCUGAUACUGCCCAAGAGUCCAUAUCGACGGCAGUGUUUGGCACCUCGAUGUCGGCUCAUCUCAUCCUGGGGCUGGAGCAGGUCCCAAGGGUAUGGCUGUUCGCCAUUUAAAGAGGUACGUGAGCUGGGUUUAGA